Schistosoma haematobium is the source of this 45-nucleotide non-coding RNA. The record is from Rfam. NCBI's taxonomy places the organism in Eukaryota, Metazoa, Platyhelminthes, Trematoda, Strigeidida, Schistosomatidae.
AUCCAGCUGACGCGUCCCAAAUAGGACGAAACGUGCAUCCUGUAU